This 1540-nucleotide ribosomal RNA is filed under the name Staphylococcus aureus VET1646S. RNAcentral's name for it is "16S ribosomal RNA". It matches the Rfam family "Bacterial small subunit ribosomal RNA". RNAcentral also lists the same sequence under 1 other name. The record is from RNAcentral. Lineage: Bacteria; Bacillati; Bacillota; Bacilli; Caryophanales; Staphylococcaceae.
AGAGUUUGAUCCUGGCUCAGGAUGAACGCUGGCGGCGUGCCUAAUACAUGCAAGUCGAGCGAACGGACGAGAAGCUUGCUUUUCUGAUGUUAGCGGCGGACGGGUGAGUAACACGUGGAUAACCUACCUAUAAGACUGGGAUAACUUCGGGAAACCGGAGCUAAUACCGGAUAAUAUUUUGAACCGCAUGGUUCAAAAGUGAAAGACGGUCUUGCUGUCACUUAUAGAUGGAUCCGCGCUGCAUUAGCUAGUUGGUAAGGUAACGGCUUACCAAGGCAACGAUGCAUAGCCGACCUGAGAGGGUGAUCGGCCACACUGGAACUGAGACACGGUCCAGACUCCUACGGGAGGCAGCAGUAGGGAAUCUUCCGCAAUGGGCGAAAGCCUGACGGAGCAACGCCGCGUGAGUGAUGAAGGUCUUCGGAUCGUAAAACUCUGUUAUUAGGGAAGAACAUAUGUGUAAGUAACUGUGCACAUCUUGACGGUACCUAAUCAGAAAGCCACGGCUAACUACGUGCCAGCAGCCGCGGUAAUACGUAGGUGGCAAGCGUUAUCCGGAAUUAUUGGGCGUAAAGCGCGCGUAGGCGGUUUUUUAAGUCUGAUGUGAAAGCCCACGGCUCAACCGUGGAGGGUCAUUGGAAACUGGAAAACUUGAGUGCAGAAGAGGAAAGUGGAAUUCCAUGUGUAGCGGUGAAAUGCGCAGAGAUAUGGAGGAACACCAGUGGCGAAGGCGACUUUCUGGUCUGUAACUGACGCUGAUGUGCGAAAGCGUGGGGAUCAAACAGGAUUAGAUACCCUGGUAGUCCACGCCGUAAACGAUGAGUGCUAAGUGUUAGGGGGUUUCCGCCCCUUAGUGCUGCAGCUAACGCAUUAAGCACUCCGCCUGGGGAGUACGACCGCAAGGUUGAAACUCAAAGGAAUUGACGGGGACCCGCACAAGCGGUGGAGCAUGUGGUUUAAUUCGAAGCAACGCGAAGAACCUUACCAAAUCUUGACAUCCUUUGACAACUCUAGAGAUAGAGCUUUCCCCUUCGGGGGACAAAGUGACAGGUGGUGCAUGGUUGUCGUCAGCUCGUGUCGUGAGAUGUUGGGUUAAGUCCCGCAACGAGCGCAACCCUUAAGCUUAGUUGCCAUCAUUAAGUUGGGCACUCUAAGUUGACUGCCGGUGACAAACCGGAGGAAGGUGGGGAUGACGUCAAAUCAUCAUGCCCCUUAUGAUUUGGGCUACACACGUGCUACAAUGGACAAUACAAAGGGCAGCGAAACCGCGAGGUCAAGCAAAUCCCAUAAAGUUGUUCUCAGUUCGGAUUGUAGUCUGCAACUCGACUACAUGAAGCUGGAAUCGCUAGUAAUCGUAGAUCAGCAUGCUACGGUGAAUACGUUCCCGGGUCUUGUACACACCGCCCGUCACACCACGAGAGUUUGUAACACCCGAAGCCGGUGGAGUAACCUUUUAGGAGCUAGCCGUCGAAGGUGGGACAAAUGAUUGGGGUGAAGUCGUAACAAGGUAGCCGUAUCGGAAGGUGCGGCUGGAUCACCU